GAAAGUUGUACAAUGGAUGGCAUAUAUGUUUUGUAUAUGGUUGUCGAUUAGGGAUCAACUGAAAUGUCUGUGGGGAGAAUAGGCCAGUUGUACAAAGAAAUAUUUUAUAAAGACAUGCAUGCAAUAUGCAAUAUGUUAUGUAUGUUAAUCUCUUUUUCUUUUCUUCCUCAUUCUUUUAUUUUCUAUUCUUUUUUCUUUUUCUCUUUCUUACCCCCACUCGCAAGUUUUAACAUGUAAC
RNAcentral lists this long non-coding RNA (238 nucleotides) under Lathyrus oleraceus (garden pea). RNAcentral describes it as "Pisum sativum (pea) long non-coding RNA (PSAT_LNC012494)". The record is from RNAcentral. Lineage: Eukaryota; Viridiplantae; Streptophyta; Magnoliopsida; Fabales; Fabaceae.